RNAcentral lists this ribosomal RNA (251 nucleotides) under uncultured Bordetella sp. RNAcentral's name for it is "partial 16S ribosomal RNA". It matches the Rfam family "Bacterial small subunit ribosomal RNA", at positions 524 to 774 of the family's 1533-position model. The record is from RNAcentral. Lineage: Bacteria; Pseudomonadati; Pseudomonadota; Betaproteobacteria; Burkholderiales; Alcaligenaceae.
UACGUAGGGUGCAAGCGUUAAUCGGAAUUACUGGGCGUAAAGCGUGCGCAGGCGGUUCGGAAAGAAAGAUGUGAAAUCCCAGGGCUUAACCUUGGAACUGCAUUUUUAACUACCGGGCUAGAGUGUGUCAGAGGGAGGUGGAAUUCCGCGUGUAGCAGUGAAAUGCGUAGAUAUGCGGAGGAACACCGAUGGCGAAGGCAGCCUCCUGGGAUAACACUGACGCUCAUGCACGACAGCGUGGGUAUCAACCC